This 469-nucleotide ribosomal RNA is filed under the name uncultured bacterium. RNAcentral's name for it is "partial 16S ribosomal RNA". It matches the Rfam family "Bacterial small subunit ribosomal RNA", at positions 27 to 507 of the family's 1533-position model. The record is from RNAcentral.
GGACGAACGCUGGCGGCGUGCUUACCACAUGCAAGUCGAGCGGAAAGGCCCUGCUUUUGUGGGGUGCUCGAGUGGCGGACGGGUGAGUAACACGUGAGUAACCCGCCCUUGACUUUGGGAUAACUUCAGGAAACUGGGGCUAAUACCGGAUAGGAGCUCCUGCUGCAUGGUGGGGGUUGGAAAGUUUCGGCGGUUGGGGAUGGACUCGCGGCUUAUCAGCUUGUUGGUGGGGUAGUGGCUUACCAAGGCUUUGACGGGUAGCCGGCCUGAGAGGGUGACCGGCCACAUUGGGACUGAGAUACGGCCCAGACUCCUACGGGAGGCAGCAGUGGGGAAUAUUGCACAAUGGGCGGAAGCCUGAUGCAGCAACGCCGCGUGCGGGAUGACGGCCUUCGGGUUGUAAACCGCUUUCGCCUGUGACGAAGCGUGAGUGACGGUAAUGGGUAAAGAAGCACCGGCUAACUACGUC